AUAUGGUCAAGUGAAGAAGCGCAUACGGUGGAUGCCUUGGCAGUCAGAGGCGAUGAAAGACGUGGUAGCCUGCGAAAAGCUUCGGGGAGUCGGCAAACAGACUGUGAUCCGGAGGUAUCUGAAUGGGGGAACCCAGCCAUCAUAAGAUGGUUAUCUUGUACUGAAUACAUAGGUGCAAGAGGCGAACCAGGGGAACUGAAACAUCUAAGUACCCUGAGGAAAAGAAAUCAACCGAGAUUCCCUUAGUAGUGGCGAGCGAACGGGGACCAGCCCUUAAGUUGUAUUGAGAUUAGCGGAACACUCUGGAAAGGGUGGCCAUAGUGGGUGAUAGCCCUGUACGCGAAAAUCCCUUUGCAAUGAAAUCGAGUAGGACGGGGCACGAGAAACCUUGUCUGAAUAUGGGGGGACCAUCCUCCAAGGCUAAAUACUACUGACUGACCGAUAGUGAACCAGUACCGUGAGGGAAAGGCGAAAAGAACCGCGGAGAGCGGAGUGAAAUAGAUCCUGAAACCGUAUGCGUACAAGCAGUGGGAGCCCACUUUGUUGGGUGACUGCGUACCUUUUGUAUAAUGGGUCAGCGACUUAUUUUCAGUGGCGAGCUUAACCGAAUAGGGGAGGCGUAGCGAAAGCGAGUCUUAAUAGGGCGUCUAGUCGCUGGGAAUAGACCCGAAACCGGGCGAUCUAUCCAUGGGCAGGUUGAAGGUUGGGUAACACUAACUGGAGGACCGAACCGACUACCGUUGAAAAGUUAGCGGAUGACCUGUGGAUCGGAGUGAAAGGCUAAUCAAGCUCGGAGAUAGCUGGUUCUCCUCGAAAGCUAUUUAGGUAGCGCCUCAUGUAUCACUGUAGGGGGUAGAGCACUGUUUCGGCUAGGGGGUCAUCCCGACUUACCAAACCGAUGCAAACUCCGAAUACCUACAAGUGCCGAGCAUGGGAGACACACGGCGGGUGCUAACGUCCGUCGUGAAAAGGGAAACAACCCAGACCGUCAGCUAAGGUCCCAAAGUCAUGGUUAAGUGGGAAACGAUGUGGGAAGGCUUAGACAGCUAGGAGGUUGGCUUAGAAGCAGCCACCCUUUAAAGAAAGCGUAAUAGCUCACUAGUCGAGUCGGCCUGCGCGGAAGAUGUAACGGGGCUCAAACCAUGCACCGAAGCUACGGGUAUCAUCUUUUGAUGAUGCGGUAGAGGAGCGUUCUGUAAGCCUGUGAAGGUGAGUUGAGAAGCUUGCUGGAGGUAUCAGAAGUGCGAAUGCUGACAUGAGUAACGACAAUGGGUGUGAAAAACACCCACGCCGAAAGACCAAGGUUUCCUGCGCAACGUUAAUCGACGCAGGGUUAGUCGGUCCCUAAGGCGAGGCUGAAAAGCGUAGUCGAUGGAAAACAGGUUAAUAUUCCUGUACUUCUGGUUAUUGCGAUGGAGGGACGGAGAAGGCUAGGCCAGCCUGGCGUUGGUUGUCCAGGUUUAAGGUGGUAGGCUGAGAUCUUAGGUAAAUCCGGGAUCUUAAGGCCGAGAGCUGAUGACGAGUGUUCUUUUAGAACACGAAGUGGUUGAUGCCAUGCUUCCAAGAAAAGCUUCUAAGCUUCAGGUAACCAGGAACCGUACCCCAAACCGACACAGGUGGUUGGGUAGAGAAUACCAAGGCGCUUGAGAGAACUCGGGUGAAGGAACUAGGCAAAAUGGCACCGUAACUUCGGGAGAAGGUGCGCCGGUGAGGGUGAAGCAUUUACUGCGUAAGCUCAUGCCGGUCGAAGAUACCAGGCCGCUGCGACUGUUUAUUAAAAACACAGCACUCUGCAAACACGAAAGUGGACGUAUAGGGUGUGACGCCUGCCCGGUGCCGGAAGGUUAAUUGAUGGGGUUAGCGCAAGCGAAGCUCUUGAUCGAAGCCCCGGUAAACGGCGGCCGUAACUAUAACGGUCCUAAGGUAGCGAAAUUCCUUGUCGGGUAAGUUCCGACCUGCACGAAUGGCGUAACGAUGGCGGCGCUGUCUCCACCCGAGACUCAGUGAAAUUGAAAUCGCUGUGAAGAUGCAGUGUAUCCGCGGCUAGACGGAAAGACCCCGUGAACCUUUACUAUAGCUUUGCACUGGACUUUGAAUUUGCUUGUGUAGGAUAGGUGGGAGGCUUUGAAGCGUGGACGCCAGUCUGCGUGGAGCCAACCUUGAAAUACCACCCUGGCAACUUUGAGGUUCUAACUCAGGUCCGUUAUCCGGAUCGAGGACAGUGUAUGGUGGGUAGUUUGACUGGGGCGGUCUCCUCCUAAAGAGUAACGGAGGAGUACGAAGGUGCGCUCAGACCGGUCGGAAAUCGGUCGUAGAGUAUAAAGGCAAAAGCGCGCUUGACUGCGAGACAGACACGUCGAGCAGGUACGAAAGUAGGUCUUAGUGAUCCGGUGGUUCUGUAUGGAAGGGCCAUCGCUCAACGGAUAAAAGGUACUCCGGGGAUAACAGGCUGAUACCGCCCAAGAGUUCAUAUCGACGGCGGUGUUUGGCACCUCGAUGUCGGCUCAUCACAUCCUGGGGCUGAAGCCGGUCCCAAGGGUAUGGCUGUUCGCCAUUUAAAGUGGUACGCGAGCUGGGUUUAGAACGUCGUGAGACAGUUCGGUCCCUAUCUGCCGUGGACGUUUGAGAUUUGAGAGGGGCUGCUCCUAGUACGAGAGGACCGGAGUGGACGAACCUCUGGUGUUCCGGUUGUCACGCCAGUGGCAUUGCCGGGUAGCUAUGUUCGGAAAAGAUAACCGCUGAAAGCAUCUAAGCGGGAAACUUGCCUCAAGAUGAGAUCUCACUGGAACCUUGAGUUCCCUAAAGGGCCGUCGAAGACUACGACGUUGAUAGGUUGGGUGUGUAAGCGCUGUGAGGCGUUGAGCUAACCAAUACUAAUUGCCCGUGAGGCUUGACCAU
RNAcentral lists this ribosomal RNA (2898 nucleotides) under Pseudomonas syringae. Its description in RNAcentral is "bacterial LSU rRNA". It matches the Rfam family "Bacterial large subunit ribosomal RNA". Lineage: Bacteria; Pseudomonadati; Pseudomonadota; Gammaproteobacteria; Pseudomonadales; Pseudomonadaceae. The record is from RNAcentral.